This 981-nucleotide ribosomal RNA is filed under the name Triticum aestivum (bread wheat). RNAcentral's name for it is "partial small subunit ribosomal RNA". The record is from RNAcentral. Lineage: Eukaryota; Viridiplantae; Streptophyta; Magnoliopsida; Poales; Poaceae.
AUGCCACCUUCCGUGCACGACACGGAAGGCCUGCCGUUCAUGAAGCAUGGUUGUGUCUUCAGUGCGCACCGCCGGAUGAAUGACAUGCUGGGACACGCUAUCCCUGAUUUAUGCCGCUUCAGCUUGGAUGAGUCUCCAUCGUGUGGAACCGGACUAGAAAGCUGCAACAAUGAUUCCCGUUGCCCACCGCUAUGGAUCGUGCCAUCCAUGAAGAACACCUGGGACUGGAACCUGGAGGAGGACAUUAGUACUAGUAGAAUUGAGAUUGAAUGCACUUUCUUCCACGCCUUCCACUCUUCUUCCUCCUCUCUUCUUCUUCCUCCUCUCUUCCCCAUCAUCGGCCGCACACCAUUUACCGCCGCUCACUGCUCGCCUGCCCACGCCAUCUUCCUUGUACCAUAUAACUGGAAUUACCGAUGCAAGUCGAAGAAGGAUUGGCCGGUGCUGCCGGCUGGCAUCAAGUUCGAUCCCACGGAUCAGGAGCUGAUCGUGCACCUUGAGGCCAAAGUGAGUGCUGACAGCGCAAGAUUUCAGUCUCUCAUCGAUUUGUUCAUACCAACCAUCGACAGCGCGCACGGCAUAUGCUACACCCAACUUGAGAAACUUCCAGCACAAUUCCAGGGCGUUCAAAUGGGGCACAUGGACGCGUCACAAGAUACAGUCGGAGUGCGGCAUGCACGCGAUGUGGCACAAGACCGGCAAUACCUUACCGGUGAUGGUCAACAGCCGGCAGACGGGCAGCAAAAAAGGUUCUGGUGCUGCAAACUGGGUGAGCACCAGUACCACCUCGGGGACCUGGAGCAAGAGAAGGAGCGGGAGCUGGUCCUCUGCAAGAUUUUCUACCAGACGAACACUAGGGCCAGGAGUAAAAAGAUUAUAAGUCGAGCAUGUUUCAACUGGGCUGUAGAUUGCCCAGGGUUGGUUUUGUUUUUAACAGGCCCAGCCCAUGACGACAACGGGGCACAAAGAUCCAGCAGGUAG